This 466-nucleotide small RNA is filed under the name Vigna angularis var. angularis. RNAcentral's name for it is "Non-protein coding transcript". The record is from RNAcentral. Lineage: Eukaryota; Viridiplantae; Streptophyta; Magnoliopsida; Fabales; Fabaceae.
AAUUUUCUGAGCUUCUCUCUCUAAAAAUUUCGAGCCCUAACUCUCUCUGCCUUCUCUCUAAAUUUCCAGCUCUUUGAACCUUUCAAUCUUGAGUUGGAGGGUGCUCAGACGUCCGAAGGCUUCCUUUUGAGCCGAUCGCAUUUUCGAUUGAACCGGAUAAAGGGGACUUAAAAACCUGAGUUGGCACAUUCCUGAUCAUAGACUGGCCUGGUCCAUUAUGUUGUGACUAGUCAUAUGUGCUAGCGCCGAAGAUGGGGUUGAGGAAAUACCUCUGGAGCAAGAGUUGGAGGAGAAUGAUGCUGCUGCACAGUCUGCGUAGGAUUUAGAUAUCUAAACUCUUGGAUGUUAAAUAGUCAGAACUGUCUGAGUUUAAAACUCUAUAUUAUAUUUUGGAUGACUGUAAUUUCGUACUUAAUUGCAAGUCAUACUCUAACUGUUCUCUUUAUUUGGAUGUUGGAUGUUGACG